This 71-nucleotide transfer RNA is filed under the name Halothiobacillus sp. 28-55-5. RNAcentral describes it as "tRNA-Asp". It matches the Rfam family "tRNA". From Rfam's summary of the family: Transfer RNA (tRNA) molecules are approximately 80 nucleotides in length. Their secondary structure includes four short double-helical elements and three loops (D, anti-codon, and T loops). Further hydrogen bonds mediate the characteristic L-shaped molecular structure. tRNAs have two regions of fundamental functional importance: the anti-codon, which is responsible for specific mRNA codon recognition, and the 3' end, to which the tRNAs corresponding amino acid is attached (by aminoacyl-tRNA synthetases). tRNAs cope with the degeneracy of the genetic code in two manners: having more than one tRNA (with a specific anti-codon) for a particular amino acid; and 'wobble' base-pairing, i.e. permitting non-standard base-pairing at the 3rd anti-codon position. Lineage: Bacteria; Pseudomonadati; Pseudomonadota; Gammaproteobacteria; Chromatiales; Halothiobacillaceae. The record is from RNAcentral.
GUAGUUCAGUUGGUUAGAAUACCGGCCUGUCACGCCGGGGGUCGCGGGUUCGAGUCCCGUCCGCUGCGCCA